This is a non-coding RNA of Triticum urartu, 135 nucleotides long. NCBI's taxonomy places the organism in Eukaryota, Viridiplantae, Streptophyta, Magnoliopsida, Poales, Poaceae. The record is from Rfam.
CAACUACUCCCUCUGUCCCAAAUUUCUUGUCUUAGAUUUGUCUAGAUAUGGAUGUAUCUAAUACUAAAAUGUGACUUGAUACAUCCGUAUCUAGACAAAUCUAAGACAAGAAUUUUGGGACGGAAGGAGUACUUU